This 29-nucleotide non-coding RNA is filed under the name Mus musculus (house mouse). The record is from RNAcentral. Lineage: Eukaryota; Metazoa; Chordata; Mammalia; Rodentia; Muridae.
CUGGAAACCUAGAGUGUGUGAAGUUGCUA